RNAcentral lists this non-coding RNA (29 nucleotides) under Rattus norvegicus (Norway rat). Lineage: Eukaryota; Metazoa; Chordata; Mammalia; Rodentia; Muridae. The record is from RNAcentral.
UGGUAGGGCCUCCUUGUGUACACACAGUA